Molecule: small RNA, 128 nt
Filed under: Marmota monax (woodchuck)
Lineage: Eukaryota; Metazoa; Chordata; Mammalia; Rodentia; Sciuridae
Source: RNAcentral
GCUGGGUGCAGUGGUGCAUGCCUAUAAUCCCAGCUGCUUGGGAGGCUGAGGCAGGAGUAUCAUGAGUUCACAGCCAGCCUCAGCAAAGGCGGUGAGGUGCUAAGCAACUCAGUGAGACCCUGUCUCUA